ACGAACGCUGGCGGCGUGCUUCACACCUGCAAGUCGAACGGAAAGGCCCUGCUUGCAGGGUACUCGAGUGGCGAACGGGUGAGUAACACGUGGGUGAUCUGCCCUGCACUUCGGGAUAAGCCUGGGAAACUGGGUCUAAUACCGGAUAGGAGCCAUUUUUAGUGUGAUGGUUGGAAAGUUUUUUCGGUGUAGGAUGAGCUCGCGGCCUAUCAGCUUGUUGGUGGGGUAAUGGCCUACCAAGGCGGCGACGGGUAGCCGGCCUGAGAGGGUGGACGGCCACAUUGGGACUGAGAUACGGCCCAGACUCCUACGGGAGGCAGCAGUGGGGAAUAUUGCACAAUGGGCGCAAGCCUGAUGCAGCGACGCCGCGUGGGGGAGGACGGCCUUCGGGUUGUAAACUCCUUUCGCUAGGGACGAAGCUUUUUGUGACGGUACCUAGAUAAGAAGCACCGGCUAACUACGUG
This 464-nucleotide ribosomal RNA is filed under the name uncultured bacterium. RNAcentral's name for it is "partial 16S ribosomal RNA". It matches the Rfam family "Bacterial small subunit ribosomal RNA", at positions 29 to 507 of the family's 1533-position model. The record is from RNAcentral.